UACGGGGGGGGCAAGCGUUGUUCGGAAUUACUGGGCGUAAAGGGUUAGUAGGUGGCCAACUAAGUCAGACGUGAAAUCCCUCAGCUUAACUGGGGAACUGCGUCUGAGACUGAUUGGCUCGAGGACAGGAGAGGAACGCGGAAUUCCAGGUGUAGCGGUGAAAUGCGUAGAUAUCUGGAGGAACACCGGUGGCGAAGGCGGCGUUCUGGACUGCAACUGACACUGAAAAACGAAAGCCAGGGGAGCAAACGGG
RNAcentral lists this ribosomal RNA (253 nucleotides) under uncultured bacterium. RNAcentral's name for it is "partial 16S ribosomal RNA". It matches the Rfam family "Bacterial small subunit ribosomal RNA", at positions 524 to 776 of the family's 1533-position model. The record is from RNAcentral.